This 312-nucleotide long non-coding RNA is filed under the name Heterocephalus glaber (naked mole-rat). RNAcentral describes it as "lncRNA (ENSHGLG00000042237.1)". Lineage: Eukaryota; Metazoa; Chordata; Mammalia; Rodentia; Bathyergidae. The record is from RNAcentral.
CCUCGAUGCAAGAAAAGAUGCCUCUUGUCCUGGGACCUGCCAGUGUCUGACUAUUUUAAGCCCUUGGACCUGGUACCUCUUGAGAGAGCUGAAACAUCCUUUUGCCUAUCUUAAUCUGCAGCAAUGGAGGUGCAGAGAGAGAAACAUUUUCCUCAUUCCUUACCUUUCUUUUGGAGCAGGCCCAGGUAGAGUGGUAAGACCUGAGGAAGAAACUUAAUAUCCAGAAUGGCUAUUGGCACACAUAGAGAAAUUUCUACAGAGGACAGAAGCUCGCCAAACAGAAUCUAAGAAAUCACAGAUGACAUAUACAGC